RNAcentral lists this ribosomal RNA (424 nucleotides) under uncultured prokaryote. RNAcentral's name for it is "bacterial SSU rRNA". It matches the Rfam family "Bacterial small subunit ribosomal RNA", at positions 355 to 796 of the family's 1533-position model. The record is from RNAcentral.
UGGGGAAUAUUGCACAAUGGGCGCAAGCCUGAUGCAGCCAUGCCGCGUGAGUGAAGAAGGCCUUAGGGUUGUAAAACUCUUUCACCGGUGAAGAUAAUGACGGUAGCCGGAGAAGAAGCCCCGGCCAACUCCGUGCCAGCAGCCGCGGUAAUACGGAGGGGGCUAGCGUUGUUCGGAAUCACUGGGCGUAAAGCGCACGUAGGCGGUUUGGUUAGUUGGGGGUGAAAGCCCGAGGCUUAACCUCGGAACUGCCCUCAAUACUGCGAGUCAUGAGACCGGGAGAGGUGAGUGGAAUUCCUAGUGUAGAGGUGAAAUUCGUAGAUAUUAGGAAGAACACCAGUGGCGAAGGCGGCUCACUGGCCCGGUACUGACGCUGAGGUGCGAAAGCGUGGGGAGCAAACAGGAUUAGAUACCCCUGUAGUCC